Molecule: ribosomal RNA, 486 nt
Filed under: uncultured bacterium
Lineage: Bacteria
Description: partial 16S ribosomal RNA
Rfam family: Bacterial small subunit ribosomal RNA
Source: RNAcentral
GAUGAACGCUGGCGGCGUGCCUAAUACAUGCAAGUCGAACGCUGGAGAUCUAGCUUGCUAGAUCGAAGGAGUGGCGAACGGGUGAGUAAUACAUAAGCAACCUACCCACGAAGACUGGGAUAAUCUCUGGAAACGGGGACUAAUACCGGAUAGGUAAUCGGAAGUCAUCUUCUGGUUAUUAAAGGUUAAAAACACUGGGGGAUGGGCUUAUGGCGCAUUAGUUAGUUGGUGAGGUAACGGCCCACCAAGACGAUGAUGCGUAGCCGGCCUGAGAGGGUGAACGGCCACAUUGGGACUGAGACACGGCCCAGACGCCUACGGGAGGCAGCAGUAGGGAACUGUCGGCAAUGGGGGCAACCCUGACCGAGCAACGCCGCGUGAGUGAAGACGGCCUUCGGGUUGUAAAGCUCUGUUGUAAGGGAAGAACGGUAGAUAGAGAAUAUCUAAGUGACGGUACCUUACCAGAAAGCCACGGCUAACUACGUG